This 503-nucleotide ribosomal RNA is filed under the name uncultured bacterium. RNAcentral's name for it is "partial 16S ribosomal RNA". It matches the Rfam family "Bacterial small subunit ribosomal RNA", at positions 30 to 523 of the family's 1533-position model. The record is from RNAcentral.
AUUGAACGCUGGCGGCAGGCUUAACACAUGCAAGUCGGGCGGGGUGAUGGUGCUUGCACUAUCACUUAGCGGCGGACGGGUGAGUAAUGCUUAGGAAUCUGCCUAUUAGUGGGGGACAACAUCUCGAAAGGGAUGCUAAUACCGCAUACGUCCUACGGGAGAAAGCAGGGGAUCACUUGUGACCUUGCGCUAAUAGAUGAGCCUAAGUCGGAUUAGCUAGUUGGUGGGGUAAAGGCCUACCAAGGCGACGAUCUGUAGCGGGUCUGAGAGGAUGAGCCGCCACACUGGGACUGAGACACGGCCAAGACUCCUACGGGAGGCAGCAGUGGGGAAUAUUGGACAAUGGGGGGAACCCUGAUCCAGCCAUGCCGCGUGUGUGAAGAAGGCCUUAUGGUUGUAAAGCACUUUAAGCGAGGAGGAGGCUCUUUUGGUUAAUACCCAAGAUGAGUGGACGUUACUCGCAGAAUAAGCACCGGCUAACUCUGUGCCAGCCGCCCCCGUAA